AACUCUUAACGGGGGAUCACUCGGCUCGUGGGUCGAUGAAGACCGCAGCAAACUGCGAUGUCGGUAUGUGAAUCGCAAAAUACCAGAUACAUCGACAAGUUGAACGCAUAUUGCGGCGGCGGCAGCCAUAUGAGCUUGUCGCCGCCACUCCUCUACGAGGGUCG
RNAcentral lists this ribosomal RNA (164 nucleotides) under Homarus americanus (American lobster). Its description in RNAcentral is "5.8S ribosomal RNA". It matches the Rfam family "5.8S ribosomal RNA". From Rfam's summary of the family: 5.8S ribosomal RNA (5.8S rRNA) is a component of the large subunit of the eukaryotic ribosome. It is transcribed by RNA polymerase I as part of the 45S precursor that also contains 18S and 28S rRNA. Lineage: Eukaryota; Metazoa; Arthropoda; Malacostraca; Decapoda; Nephropidae. The record is from Rfam by way of RNAcentral.